GACGAACGCUGGCGGCGUGCCUAAUACAUGCAAGUCGAACGCACUCUCGUUUAGAUUGAAGGAGCUUGCUCCUGAUUGAUAAACAUUUGAGUGAGUGGCGGACGGGUGAGUAACACGUGGGUAACCUGCCCUAAAGUGGGGGAUAACAUUUGGAAACAGAUGCUAAUACCGCAUAAAACCUAAACACCGCAUGGUGUAGGGUUGAAAGAUGGUUUCGGCUAUCACUUUAGGAUGGACCCGCGGUGCAUUAGUUAGUUGGUGAGGUAAAGGCUCACCAAGACCGUGAUGCAUAGCCGACCUGAGAGGGUAAUCGGCCACACUGGGUCUGAGACACGGCCCAGACUCCUACGGGAGGCAGCAGUAGGGAAUCUUCCACAAUGGACGAAAGUCUGAUGGAGCAACGCCGCGUGAGUGAAGAAGUUUUCGGAUCGUAAAACUCUGUUGUUGAGAAGAAUGUAUCUGAUAGUAACUGAUCAGGUAGUGACGGUAU
RNAcentral lists this ribosomal RNA (490 nucleotides) under uncultured bacterium. RNAcentral's name for it is "bacterial SSU rRNA". It matches the Rfam family "Bacterial small subunit ribosomal RNA", at positions 28 to 478 of the family's 1533-position model. The record is from RNAcentral.